This 386-nucleotide ribosomal RNA is filed under the name uncultured bacterium. RNAcentral's name for it is "bacterial SSU rRNA". It matches the Rfam family "Bacterial small subunit ribosomal RNA", at positions 28 to 416 of the family's 1533-position model. The record is from RNAcentral.
GACGAACGCUGGCGGCGUGCUUAACACAUGCAAGUCGAACGGAAAGGCCCAGCUUGCUGGGUACUCGAGUGGCGAACGGUGAGUAACACGUGGGUGAUCUGCCCCAAACUUCGGGAUAAGCCUGGGAAACUGGGUCUAAUACCGGAUAUGACCUGCUCCUGCAUGGGGGUUGUGGAAAGCUUUUGCGGUUUGGGAUGGGCCCGCGGCCUAUCAGCUUGUUGGUGGGGUAAUGGCCUACCAAGGCGACGAUGGGUAGCCGACCUGAGAGGGUGUUCGGCCACACUGGGACUGAGACACGGCCCAGACUCCUACGGGAGGCAGCAGUGGGGAAUAUUGCACAAUGGGCGCAAGCCUGAUGCAGCGACGCCGCGUGAGGGAUGACGGCC